GCGUUUGUAGUCCAACGGUUAGGAUAAUUGCCUUCUAAGCAAUACACCCGGGUUCUACUCCCAUGCAGCCCUA
Molecule: transfer RNA, 73 nt
Organism: Ipomoea nil (Japanese morning glory)
Lineage: Eukaryota; Viridiplantae; Streptophyta; Magnoliopsida; Solanales; Convolvulaceae
Rfam family: tRNA
About the family: Transfer RNA (tRNA) molecules are approximately 80 nucleotides in length.
Source: Rfam